Molecule: unclassified non-coding RNA, 236 nt
Filed under: plant metagenome
Description: partial contains small subunit ribosomal RNA, internal transcribed spacer 1, and 5.8S ribosomal RNA
Source: RNAcentral
UUUCCGUAGGUGAACCUGCGGAAGGAUCAUUACUGAGUGAGGGCCCCUCGGGGUCCAACCUCCCACCCGUGUUUAACGAACCUUGUUGCUUCGGCGGGCCCGCCUCACGGCCGCCGGGGGGCAUCUGCCCCCGGGCCCGCGCCCGCCGAAGCCGCCUGUGAACGCUGUCUGAAGUAUGCAGUCUGAGACAAUUAUUAAAUUAAUUAAAACUUUCAACAACGGAUCUCUUGGUUCCG